UACGAAGGGGGCUAGCGUUGCUCGGAAUCACUGGGCGUAAAGCGCACGUAGGCGGCUUUCUAAGUCAGGGGUGAAAUCCUGGAGCUCAACUCCAGAACUGCCUUUGAUACUGGAGAGCUUGAGUCCGGAAGAGGUGAGUGGAACUCCGAGUGUAGAGGUGAAAUUCGUAGAUAUUCGGAAGAACACCAGUGGCGAAGGCGGCUCACUGGACUGGUAUUGACGCUGAGGUGCGAAAGCGUGGGGAGCAAACAGG
Molecule: ribosomal RNA, 253 nt
Filed under: uncultured bacterium
Lineage: Bacteria
Description: partial 16S ribosomal RNA
Rfam family: Bacterial small subunit ribosomal RNA
Source: RNAcentral